RNAcentral lists this ribosomal RNA (185 nucleotides) under uncultured bacterium. RNAcentral describes it as "partial 16S ribosomal RNA". It matches the Rfam family "Bacterial small subunit ribosomal RNA", at positions 1318 to 1500 of the family's 1533-position model. The record is from RNAcentral.
UCAUGAAGCCGGAAUUGCUAGUAAUGGCAGGUCAGCAUACUGCCGUGAAUACGUUCCCGGGCCUUGUACACACCGCCCGUCACACCAUGAGAGUCUGUAACACCCAAAGCCGGUGGGAUAACCUUUAUAGGAGUCAGCCGUCUAAGGUAGGACAGAUGAUUAGGGUGAAGUCGUAACAAGGUAUC